CAGUCGCCGCGGGAAUACGAAGGGGGCUAGCGUUGUUCGGAAUUACUGGGCGUAAAGCGCACGUAGGCGGAUCGAUCAGUCAGGGGUGAAAUCCCAGGGCUCAACCCUGGAACUGCCUUUGAUACUGUCGAUCUGGAGUAUGGAAGAGGUGAGUGGAAUUCCGAGUGUAGAGGUGAAAUUCGUAGAUAUUCGGAGGAACACCAGUGGCGAAGGCGGCUCACUGGUCCAUUACUGACGCUGAGGUGCGAAAGCGUGGGGAGCAAACAGGAUUAGAUACCCCAGUAGUCCCUGUCUCUUAUAC
RNAcentral lists this ribosomal RNA (301 nucleotides) under uncultured bacterium. RNAcentral's name for it is "partial 16S ribosomal RNA". It matches the Rfam family "Bacterial small subunit ribosomal RNA", at positions 509 to 807 of the family's 1533-position model. The record is from RNAcentral.